UACGUAGGGAGCAAACGUUGUUCGGAAUCACUGGGCGUAAAGGGCGCGUAGGCGGCUUGGUAAGUAGGGGGUGAAAUCUUGCGGCUCAACUGCAAGGCUGCCUCCUAAACUGUCAGGCUCGAGCAGAGUAGAGGCAGGUGGAAUUCCCGGUGUAGCGGUGAAAUGCGUAGAUAUCAGGAGGAAUACCGGCGGCGAAGGCGGCCCUCUGGAUCGUUGCUGACGCUGAGACGCGAAAGCGUGGGGAGCAAACAGG
Molecule: ribosomal RNA, 253 nt
Filed under: uncultured bacterium
Lineage: Bacteria
Description: partial 16S ribosomal RNA
Rfam family: Bacterial small subunit ribosomal RNA
Source: RNAcentral